RNAcentral lists this ribosomal RNA (206 nucleotides) under uncultured bacterium. RNAcentral's name for it is "partial 16S ribosomal RNA". It matches the Rfam family "Bacterial small subunit ribosomal RNA", at positions 1287 to 1500 of the family's 1533-position model. The record is from RNAcentral.
CUCAGUUCGGAUUGGAGUCUGCGACCCGACUCCAUGAAGCUGGAUUCGCUAGUAAUCGCGCAUCAGCCACGGCGCGGUGAAUACGUUCCCGGGCCUUGUACACACCGCCCGUCAAGCCAUGGGAGCCGGGGGUACCUGAAGUGCGUGACCGCAAGGAGCGCCCUAAGGUAAAACCGGUGACUGGGGCUAAGUCGUAACAAGGUACC